GUCAAAAUCUAAUUCUGAUAUCUUGGAACCCUAGUUCCGCUGCGAUUUCGAGUUGGGAGAAAUCGAUCUCGUCUUGUUCUCCUUCUCGUCUUAGUGGGUUCUCCCUAUGGUGUGAGCGUCUUCUCCGUCCCCUCCGUCUACUGCUCACCAGAUUCUGGAUCGGAAUCAAACCCUCCUUCAGCGUGUCGUCCCUGGAAGAUCUCCUUCCCCAAAUCGAGUCAAAGAUAAGCUGAGUGAGGUUGGUAAUCGCAUUCGGGUAAUCUACAGCAAAAGGAUCUCCAAAUUUAGAGGGCAGGCCAUAAUUGGGCAUGACUAUAGCUACUCACAGGAUACAUCCAGUGAUCACUACACAAAGGACAAUAUAGAAAGGGAGACAAAUGCAUACAUCUUG
This is a long non-coding RNA of Capsella rubella, 391 nucleotides long. RefSeq lists it as uncharacterized. NCBI's taxonomy places the organism in Eukaryota, Viridiplantae, Streptophyta, Magnoliopsida, Brassicales, Brassicaceae. The transcript has 3 exons. The record is from RefSeq and is a predicted model, not a curated record.